This 492-nucleotide ribosomal RNA is filed under the name uncultured bacterium. RNAcentral's name for it is "partial 16S ribosomal RNA". It matches the Rfam family "Bacterial small subunit ribosomal RNA", at positions 29 to 507 of the family's 1533-position model. The record is from RNAcentral.
AGUGAACGCUGGCGGUAGGCCUAACACAUGCAAGUCGAACGGCAGCACAGUAAGAGCUUGCUCUUACGGGUGGCGAGUGGCGGACGGGUGAGGAAUACAUCGGAAUCUACUUUUUCGUGGGGGAUAACGUAGGGAAACUUACUCUAAUACCGCAUACGACCUACGGGUGAAAGCAGGGGAUCUUCGGACCUUGCGCGAUUGAAUGAGCCGAUGUCGGAUUAGCUAGUUGGCGGGGUAAAGGCCCACCAAGGCGACGAUCCGUAGCUGGUCUGAGAGGAUGAUCAGCCACACUGGAACUGAGACACGGUCCAGACUCCUACGGGAGGCAGCAGUGGGGAAUAUUGGACAAUGGGCGCAAGCCUGAUCCAGCCAUACCGAGUGGGUGAAGAAGGCCUUCGGGUUGUAAAGCCCUUUUGUUGGGAAAGAAAAGCAGCAGGUUAAUACCCAGCUGUUCUGACGGUACCCAAAGAAUAAGCACCGGCUAACUUCGUG